RNAcentral lists this ribosomal RNA (223 nucleotides) under uncultured bacterium. Its description in RNAcentral is "partial 16S ribosomal RNA". It matches the Rfam family "Bacterial small subunit ribosomal RNA", at positions 28 to 263 of the family's 1533-position model. The record is from RNAcentral.
GACGAACGCUGGCGGCGUGCUUAACACAUGCAAGUCACGGGGGUCCCGCAAGGGAUAACCGGCGAACGGGUGCGUAACACGUGAACAACCUGCCCUCGUGUGGGGGAUAGCCGGGCUAACGCCCAGGUAAUACCGCAUACGUUCCUCUGGGGGAGUCCCCUGGGGGAGGAAAGCUCCGGCGCACGGGGAGGGGUUCNCGGCCUAUCAGCUAGUUGGGGGACGG